Molecule: microRNA precursor, 67 nt
Organism: Bison bison bison
Lineage: Eukaryota; Metazoa; Chordata; Mammalia; Artiodactyla; Bovidae
Source: Ensembl
CUUAGGUCAGUGUUGGUAUGGUUUUCAUCAGGGUUUAUGCCACUGUGAUGGAGCGUUCUGACCUAAG